RNAcentral lists this ribosomal RNA (1124 nucleotides) under Actinomadura formosensis NBRC 14204. RNAcentral's name for it is "bacterial LSU rRNA". It matches the Rfam family "Bacterial large subunit ribosomal RNA", at positions 1443 to 2539 of the family's 2925-position model. The record is from RNAcentral. Lineage: Bacteria; Bacillati; Actinomycetota; Actinomycetes; Streptosporangiales; Thermomonosporaceae.
GCCCGAGGGGGUAGUAGGUGAGUGAUGGGGUGACGCAGGAGGGUAGCUCAGCCCAGGCGAUGGUUGUCCUGGGGUAAGCAUGUAGCCCGGUGUGCAGGUAAAUCCGUGCGCCGUUGAGGGUGAGAUGUGAUGCCGAGCCGUUUUAGGUGAAGUGAGUGAUCCCAUGCUGUCGAGAAAAGCCUCUAGCGAGUGUAUCGGCGGCCCGUACCCUAAACCGACUCAGGUGGUCAGGUAGAGAAUACCGAGGCGAUCGGGUGAACUGUGGUUAAGGAACUCGGCAAAUUGCCCCCGUAACUUUGGGAGAAGGGGGACCACGCCUGGUGAACGCCCUUGCGGUGGGAGCUGGGUGGGGUCGCAGAGGCCAGGGGGAAGCGACUGUUUACUAAAAACACAGGUCCGUGCGAAGUCGUAAGACGCGGUAUACGGACUGACGCCUGCCCGGUGCCGGAACGUUAAGAGGACCGGUUAGAUCCCUUUUGGGGGUCGAAGCUGAGAAUCUAAGCGCCGGUAAACGGCGGUGGUAACUAUAACCAUCCUAAGGUAGCGAAAUUCCUUGUCGGGUAAGUUCCGACCUGCACGAAUGGCGUAACGACUUCCCCGCUGUCUCAACCACAGGCCCGGCGAAAUUGCAGUACGAGUAAAGAUGCUCGUUUCGCGCAGCAGGACGGAAAGACCCCGGGACCUUCACUAUAGCUUGGCAUUGGCGCUUGGAGCGUCUUGUGUAGGAUAGGUGGGAGACUGUGAAGCCGGCACGCCAGUGCCGGUGGAGUCGCUGGUGAAAUACCACUCUGGUCGUUUUGAGCGUCUAACCCGCACCCGUGGAUCCGGGUGGGGGACAGUGCCUGGUGGGUAGUUUAACUGGGGCGGUUGCCUCCUAAAGUGUAACGGAGGCGCCCAAAGGUUCCCUCAGCCUGGUUGGCAAUCAGGUGGCGAGUGCAAGGGCACAAGGGAGCUUGACUGUGAGACGGACGUGUCGAGCAGGUGCGAAAGCAGGGCCUAGUGAUCCGGCACCUACGUGUGGAAGUGGUGUCGCUCAACGGCUAAAAGGUACCCCGGGGAUAACAGGCUGAUCUUCCCCAAGAGUCCAUAUCGACGGGAUGGUUUGGCACCUCGAUGUCGGCUCG